UACGGAGGGUGCAAGCGUUAUCCGGAAUCACUGGGUUUAAAGGGUACGUAGGCGGUUUUGUAAGUCAGACGUUAAAGACUAUGGCUAAACCAUGGUACGCGUUUGAAACUGCGAGACUUGAAUAUAUUCGAGGUGCAUGGAAUGCUUCAUGUAGCGGUGAAAUGCAUAGAUAUGAAGUAGAACACCAAAAGCGAAGGCAGUGCACUAGGAUAUUAUUGACGCUGAGGUACGAAAGCGUGGGUAGCGAACAGGAUUAGAUACCCUGGUAGUCCACGCCCUAAACGAUGCUAACUGGUCAUUUGGCGCAAUAGUCAAGAGACUGAGGGAAACCAUUAAGUUAGCCACCUGGGGAGUACGUUCGCAAGAAUGAA
RNAcentral lists this ribosomal RNA (371 nucleotides) under uncultured bacterium. Its description in RNAcentral is "bacterial SSU rRNA". It matches the Rfam family "Bacterial small subunit ribosomal RNA", at positions 524 to 898 of the family's 1533-position model. The record is from RNAcentral.